GGAUAUCGCCUUGAAAGCCUCCUCGUCUAAGGUAAUGAAAGUAGAGGAAGAUAGUGAAAGUUCCGACGAAGAUUCUUCCAAAGAGGAAGAGAUGGUAUUAUUCAUCAAGCGUUACAAUCAAAAUAUAAAGAAACACAAGUUCAAACACUCCGACAAGAAUUUGAUCAACCUUAUGAAGUCUCACCCACAAAAAAGAGAAGGAAAGAAAAAGGAAGAAAAUGUUACAUGCGACGAAUGUGAAAAUUUAGGUUAUUACCGUGCAACAUGUUUGAUUCUCAGCAAUUG
RNAcentral lists this long non-coding RNA (285 nucleotides) under Lathyrus oleraceus (garden pea). RNAcentral's name for it is "Pisum sativum (pea) long non-coding RNA (PSAT_LNC012812)". The record is from RNAcentral. Lineage: Eukaryota; Viridiplantae; Streptophyta; Magnoliopsida; Fabales; Fabaceae.